Molecule: ribosomal RNA, 517 nt
Filed under: uncultured bacterium
Lineage: Bacteria
Description: bacterial SSU rRNA
Rfam family: Bacterial small subunit ribosomal RNA
Source: RNAcentral
GGCUCAGAACGAACGCUGGCGGCGUGCUUAACACAUGCAAGUCGAACGCGAAAGGGACUUCGGUCCUGAGUAAAGUGGCGCACGGGUGAGUAACGCGUAGAUAACCUGUCUUCAUGUCUGGAAUAAUACGCCGAAAGGGGUACUAAUACCGGAUAUUCUUGCUUUUCAUAAGUUAUGCAAGCAAAGGUGGCCUCUGCAUAUGCUACUGCAUGAAGAGGGGUCUGCGUACCAUUAGCUAGUAGGUGGGGUAAUGGCCUACCUAGGCGACGAUGGUUAGCGGGUCUGAGAGGAUGAUCCGCCACACUGGCACUGGAACACGGGCCAGACUCCUACGGGAGGCAGCAGUGAGGAAUAUUGCGCAAUGGGGGAAACCCUGACGCAGCGACGCCGCGUGAGUGAGGAAGGCCUUCGGGUCGUAAAGCUCUGUCAAGAGGAAAGAAGUGUACAAUGGCUAAUACCUGUUGUAUUUGACGGUACCUCUAAAGGAAGCACCGGCUAACUCCGUGCCAGCCGCUGC